RNAcentral lists this ribosomal RNA (209 nucleotides) under uncultured bacterium. RNAcentral describes it as "partial 16S ribosomal RNA". It matches the Rfam family "Bacterial small subunit ribosomal RNA", at positions 568 to 774 of the family's 1533-position model. The record is from RNAcentral.
AUCGAAGGUGGUUUAGUAAGUCUGAUAUUAAAUACCCACGGCUCAACCGGGGUGCUGUGUUGGAAACUGCUAAACUAGAGGAAGACAGAGGUAGCUGGAAUUCUUGUUGUAGGGGUUAAAUCCGUAGAUAACAAGAGGAACACCGAAAGCGAAGGCAUGCUACUGGGUCUUUCCUGACACUGCGCGAUCGAAAGCGUGGGGAGCGAAAG